Dipodomys ordii (Ord's kangaroo rat) is the source of this 70-nucleotide non-coding RNA. Lineage: Eukaryota; Metazoa; Chordata; Mammalia; Rodentia; Heteromyidae. The record is from Rfam.
GGGAAUGUGGCUUAGUGGUAGAGUGCUUGCCUAGCAUGCAUUAAGCCCUGGGUUCAAUUCCUCAGUACCA